RNAcentral lists this ribosomal RNA (1370 nucleotides) under uncultured bacterium. RNAcentral describes it as "bacterial SSU rRNA". It matches the Rfam family "Bacterial small subunit ribosomal RNA", at positions 28 to 1381 of the family's 1533-position model. The record is from RNAcentral.
GAUGAACGCUGGCGGCGUGCCUAAUACAUGCAAGUCGAGCGAACGGACGAGAAGCUUGCUUCUCUGAUGUUAGCGGCGGACGGGUGAGUAACACGUGGAUAACCUACCUAUAAGACUGGGAUAACUUCGGGAAACCGGAGCUAAUACCGGAUAAUAUUUUGAGCCGCAUGGUUCAAAAGUGAAAGACGGUCUUGCUGUCACUUAUAGAUGGAUCCGCGCUGCAUUAGCUAGUUGGUAAGGUAACGGCUUACCAAGGCAACGAUGCAUAGCCGACCUGAGAGGGUGAUCGGCCACACUGGAACUGAGACACGGUCCAGACUCCUACGGGAGGCAGCAGUAGGGAAUCUUCCGCAAUGGGCGAAAGCCUGACGGAGCAACGCCGCGUGAGUGAUGAAGGUCUUCGGAUCGUAAAACUCUGUUAUUAGGGAAGAACAUAUGUGUAAGUAACUGUGCACAUCUUGACGGUACCUAAUCAGAAAGCCACGGCUAACUACGUGCCAGCAGCCGCGGUAAUACGUAGGUGGCAAGCGUUAUCCGGAAUUAUUGGGCGUAAAGCGCGCGUAGCGGUUUUUUAGUCUGAUGUGAAAGCCCACGGCUCAACCGUGGAGGGUCAUUGGAAACUGGAAAACUUGAGUGCAGAAGAGGAAAGUGGAAUUCCAUGUGUAGCGGUGAAAUGCGCAGAGAUAUGGAGGAACACCAGUGGCGAAGGCGACUUUCUGGUCUGUAACUGACGCUGAUGUGCGAAAGCGUGGGGAUCAAACAGGAUUAGAUACCCUGGUAGUCCACGCCGUAAACGAUGAGUGCUAAGUGUUAGGGGGUUUCCGCCCCUUAGUGCUGCAGCUAACGCAUUAAGCACUCCGCCUGGGGAGUACGACCGCAAGGUUGAAACUCAAAGGAAUUGACGGGGACCCGCACAAGCGGUGGAGCAUGUGGUUUAAUUCGAAGCAACGCGAAGAACCUUACCAAAUCUUGACAUCCUUUGACAACUCUAGAGAUAGAGCCUUCCCCUUCGGGGGACAAAGUGACAGGUGGUGCAUGGUUGUCGUCAGCUCGUGUCGUGAGAUGUUGGGUUAAGUCCCGCAACGAGCGCAACCCUUAAGCUUAGUUGCCAUCAUUAAGUUGGGCACUCUAAGUUGACUGCCGGUGACAAACCGGAGGAAGGUGGGGAUGACGUCAAAUCAUCAUGCCCCUUAUGAUUUGGGCUACACACGUGCUACAAUGGACAAUACAAAGGGCAGCGAAACCGCGAGGUCAAGCAAAUCCCAUAAAGUUGUUCUCAGUUCGGAUUGUAGUCUGCAACUCGACUACAUGAAGCUGGAAUCGCUAGUAAUCGUAGACCAGCAUGCUACGGUGAAUACGUUCCCGGGUCU